UGGGGAAUAUUGGACAAUGGGCGAAAGCCUGAUCCAGCCAUGCCGCGUGUGUGAAGAAGGUCUUCGGAUUGUAAAGCACUUUAAGUUGGGAGGAAGGGCAGUAAGCUAAUACCUUGCUGUUUUGACGUUACCGACAGAAUAAGCACCGGCUAACUCUGUGCCAGCAGCCGCGGUAAUACAGAGGGUGCAAGCGUUAAUCGGAAUUACUGGGCGUAAAGCGCGCGUAGGUGGUUUGUUAAGUUGGAUGUGAAAGCCCCGGGCUCAACCUGGGAACUGCAUCCAAAACUGGCAAGCUAGAGUACGGUAGAGGGUGGUGGAAUUUCCUGUGUAGCGGUGAAAUGCGUAGAUAUAGGAAGGAACACCAGUGGCGAAGGCGACCACCUGGACUGAUACUGACACUGAGGUGCGAAAGCGUGGGGAGCGAAACAGGAUUAGAUACCCCUGUAGUCCCUGAGCGGGCUGGCAAGGCGCAU
Molecule: ribosomal RNA, 473 nt
Filed under: uncultured bacterium
Lineage: Bacteria
Description: bacterial SSU rRNA
Rfam family: Bacterial small subunit ribosomal RNA
Source: RNAcentral